This 1211-nucleotide ribosomal RNA is filed under the name uncultured bacterium. RNAcentral's name for it is "partial 16S ribosomal RNA". It matches the Rfam family "Bacterial small subunit ribosomal RNA", at positions 229 to 1445 of the family's 1533-position model. The record is from RNAcentral.
AUCCGCGUCCCAUUAGCCAGUUGGUGGGGUAACGGACCACCAAGGCGACGAUUGGUAGCCGAACUGAGAGGUUGAUCGGCCACAUUGGGACUGAGAUACGGCCCAGACUCCUACGGGAGGCAGCAGUGGGGAAUAUUGCGCAAUGGGGGAAACCCUGACGCAGCAACGCCGCGUGAAGGAUGAAGGUUUUCGGAUCGUAAACUUCUUUGAUGGGGGACGAAUAAUGACGGUAGGAAAUGAUCUUGAACUGACGGUACCUGUUGAAUAAGCCCCGGCUAACUACGUGCCAGCAGCCGCGGUAAUACGUAGGUGGCGAGCGUUGUCCGGAAUUAUUGGGCGUAAAGGGAGCGUAGGCGGUUUGAUAAGUCUGAGGUGAAAGUUCGGGGCUCAACUCCGGAUUGCGCCUGAAACUUUCCGACUGGAGUUUGGGAGGGGCAACUGGAAUUCCUGGUGUAACGGUGAAAUGUGUAGAUAUCAGGAGGAACACCCGUGGCGAAGGCGGGUUGCUGGACCAAAACUGACGCUGAGACGCGAAAGCGUGGGUAGCAAACAGGAUUAGAUACCCUGGUAGUCCACGCUGUAAACGAUGAGUGCUAGGUGUAGGGGGUAUCGACCCCUUCCGUUAACGCAUUAAGCACUCCGCCUGGGGAGUACGGCCGCAAGGUUGAAACUCAAAGGAAUUGACGGGGGCCCGCACAAGCGGUGGAGUAUGUGGUUUAAUUCGACGCAACGCGAAGAACCUUACCAGGCCUUGACAUACUCGGCAAAGCUCUAGAGAUAGAGUGGAGGUUAUCCGGGAUACAGGUGGUGCAUGGUUGUCGUCAGCUCGUGUCGUGAGAUGUUGGGUUAAGUCCCGCAACGAGCGCAACCCUUGUCUUUAGUUACCAUCAUUCAGUUGGGGACUCUAGAGAGACUGCCGGUGAUAAACCGGAGGAAGGUGGGGAUGACGUCAAAUCAUCAUGCCCCUUAUGGCCUGGGCUACAAACGUAAUACAAUGGCCGGAUACAAAGGGAUGCGAAAGGGCGACCUGGAGCAAAACUCACAAAGUACGUCUCAGUUCAGAUUGGAGUCUGCAACUCGACUCCAUGAAGGCGGAAUCGCUAGUAAUCGCGGAUCAGCAUGCCGCGGUGAAUACGUUCUCGGGGUUUGUACACACCGCCCGUCAAACCAUGAGAGUUGGUAAUACCCGAAGCCGGUGGCCUAACCGAGAG